RNAcentral lists this microRNA precursor (123 nucleotides) under Paramuricea clavata. The record is from RNAcentral. Lineage: Eukaryota; Metazoa; Cnidaria; Anthozoa; Malacalcyonacea; Plexauridae.
CGGAAGUUAUUUGAAAAUCGCCAGUGUAGUUUUCGAGAAACUGAAUUUAAGAUUGCAUUUUAGCCUUUGGAAAGGCUGAAAUUCAGUUUCUCGAAAACUACACUGGCGAUUUUCAGAUAACUU